CCUACGGGGGGCAGCAGUGAGGAAUAUUGGUCAAUGGACGAGAGUCUGAACCAGCCAAGUAGCGUGAAGGAUGACUGCCCUAUGGGUUGUAAACUUCUUUUAUAUGGGAAUAAAAUGUUCCACGUGUGGGAUUUUGUAUGUACCAUAUGAAUAAGGAUCGGCUAACUCCGUGCCAGCAGCCGCGGUAAUACGGAGGAUCCGAGCGUUAUCCGGAUUUAUUGGGUUUAAAGGGAGCGUAGGUGGAUUGUUAAGUCAGUUGUGAAAGUUUGCGGCUCAACCGUAAAAUUGCAGUUGAAACUGGCAGUCUUGAGUACAGUAGAGGUGGGCGGAAGUCGAGGUGUAGCGGUGAAAUGCUUAGAUAUCACGAAGAACUCCGAUUGCGAAGGCAGUUCACUGGACUGCAACUGACACUGAGGCUCGAAAGUGUGGGUAUCAAACAGGAUUAGAUACCCCGGUAGUC
RNAcentral lists this ribosomal RNA (460 nucleotides) under uncultured bacterium. RNAcentral describes it as "partial 16S ribosomal RNA". It matches the Rfam family "Bacterial small subunit ribosomal RNA", at positions 338 to 795 of the family's 1533-position model. The record is from RNAcentral.